RNAcentral lists this small nucleolar RNA (134 nucleotides) under Phoenicopterus ruber ruber. The record is from RNAcentral. Lineage: Eukaryota; Metazoa; Chordata; Aves; Phoenicopteriformes; Phoenicopteridae.
AGGUCCAUUCUAAUUCCCUGCAGGCUGAUGCCAGUACCUGCUGGGUUUCGCUUGUGGACCACAUUAAACUGGAAAACUUAAGCAUGUAUGAGCUUACUUGGUAGUCUGCUCAUGACAUAGUUCUCUGGACAUGU